This 253-nucleotide ribosomal RNA is filed under the name uncultured bacterium. RNAcentral's name for it is "partial 16S ribosomal RNA". It matches the Rfam family "Bacterial small subunit ribosomal RNA", at positions 524 to 776 of the family's 1533-position model. The record is from RNAcentral.
UACAGAGGUCUCAAGCGUUGUUCGGAUUCAUUGGGCGUAAAGGGUGCGUAGGUGGCGCGCUAAGUCAGGUGUGAAAUCCCGAGGCUUAACCUCGGGACUGCAUUUGAUACUGGCGUGCUUGAGGACUGGAGAGGAGACUGGAAUUUACGGUGUAGCAGUGAAAUGCGUAGAGAUCAUGAGGAAGACCAGUGGCGAAGGCGGGUCUCUGGACAGUUCCUGACACUGAGACACGAAGGCCAGGGGAGCAAACGGG